Small nucleolar RNA from Solea solea (common sole), 215 nucleotides. RefSeq annotates it as small nucleolar RNA U3. The transcript has a single exon. Lineage: Eukaryota; Metazoa; Chordata; Actinopteri; Pleuronectiformes; Soleidae. The record is from RefSeq and is a predicted model, not a curated record.
AAGACUAUACUUUCAGGGAUCAUUUCUAUAGUUUUUGACUUAAGAAGUGUGUUUCUAAACUGUUAGUCUCGCUAAUCACGAUGACGAGGCUUUGAUACUUCUUCUUGAGCGCGAAGCGAAUGCAGAGACUUGAGUCAAUCAUAGGCUCUGCAUUAUUGAUGACCGUUCACUGUCUCUUUCAGGGGCAAUGAGGGAAGGAGUAUGAUCAGAGUGAU